UACGUAGGUGGCAAGCGUUGUCCGGAUUUACUGGGCGUAAAGAGCGCGCAGGCGGUCGUUCAAGUCGCGUGUGAAAGCCCCCGGCUCAACUGGGGAGGGUCACGCGAUACUGAUCGACUCGAAGGCAGGAGAGGGUAGUGGAAUUCCCGGUGUAGUGGUGAAAUGCGUAGAUAUCGGGAGGAACACCAGUGGCGAAGGCGACUACCUGGCCUGUUCUUGACGCUGAGGAGCGAAAGUGUGGGGAGCGAACAGG
RNAcentral lists this ribosomal RNA (253 nucleotides) under uncultured bacterium. RNAcentral describes it as "partial 16S ribosomal RNA". It matches the Rfam family "Bacterial small subunit ribosomal RNA", at positions 524 to 776 of the family's 1533-position model. The record is from RNAcentral.